Molecule: ribosomal RNA, 468 nt
Filed under: uncultured bacterium
Lineage: Bacteria
Description: partial 16S ribosomal RNA
Rfam family: Bacterial small subunit ribosomal RNA
Source: RNAcentral
GACGAACGCUGGCGGCGUGCUUAACACAUGCAAGUCGAACGGAAAGGCCCUGCUUUUGUGUGGUGCUCGAGUGGCGAACGGGUGAGUAACACGUGAGUAACCUUCCCUUGACUUUGGGAUAACUUCAGGAAACUGGGGCUAAUACCGGAUAGGAGCUCCUGCUGCAUGGUGGGGGUUGGAAAGUUUCGGCGGUUGGGGAUGGACUCGGGGCUUAUCAGCUUGUUGGUGGGGUAGUGGCUUACCAAGGCUUUGACGGGUAGCCGGCCUGAGAGGGUGACCGGCCACAUUGGGACUGAGAUACGGCCCAGACUCCUACGGGAGGCAGCAGUGGGGAAUAUUGCACAAUGGGCGGAAGCCUGAUGCAGCAACGCCGCGUGCGGGAUGACGGCCUUCGGGUUGUAAACCGCUUUCGCCUGUGACGAAGCGUGAGUGACGGUAAUGGGUAAAGAAGCACCGGCUAACUACGUG